GCCCGGCUAGCUCAGUUGGUAGAGCAUGGGAUUCUUAAUCCCAGGGUCAUGGGUUCGGGUCCCACGUUGGGCG
This is a non-coding RNA of Carlito syrichta (Philippine tarsier), 73 nucleotides long. The record is from the annotation of a RefSeq genome assembly. NCBI's taxonomy places the organism in Eukaryota, Metazoa, Chordata, Mammalia, Primates, Tarsiidae.